AUUUUCCUUCCCUUUAAAAGCUCUAUCAGCCUUGCUCAAUCAACCAAGGUUCGAUUCUUGGUCCUUGCAUAUUUCCAAAAUAUUUUGCUAUCCCUUUUCUCCUUUCCUUUCUUUCUUCUGAUCCACCUCCUGGAUCGUUUUCAAUUUCUAACCUAAGCUCCUCUCUCCUCUCACCUCCGCCCCCUCUCCUCAAAUCAAACUCCACAACGAGCCACCAAAUUCCGAUCUUCCCACCACCAUUCAUGUGCCGUUCGUCACAGACUCAACCAGGUGGUGGCGGUGCUGCGUUCGAGCUGAAUCGUUUCUUCGACGGCGGAUUUUUUUUCCUGUUGGAACACCAAGACGCAACUCAAUUUCAGUUGGAGUUGAAGCUUUGAUUUUUUGGUUGGAGUUGAAGCUUUGGUAAUUCUACAGGAACUCAAAUGGCCAUUUGUAUCAGUGUUUAGAGUUUGUCUUGCCUUUAAGAAGGAUUAGGGGAAGACGACGUUGACUGAACGAGUUCUGUUUUACACUGGACGAAUUACCAUUCAGUGAUGCUACUUACUGCAGCUGGAAGGGGUAUCAGGUUUGAAAAAUUAUGGCUGAAGGAGAGGAAGACAUGCCCAGGGAUGCAAAGAUUGUGAAGUCAUUAUUAAAAUCUAUGGGUGUUGAGGAGCAUGAGCCCCGCGUUGUGCACCAGUUUCUGGAGCUAUGGUACAGAUAUGUCGUCGAUGUCUUGACGGAUGCACAAGGUUACUCAGAACAUGCAGGCAAAGGCACAAUUGACUGUGAUGAUAUUAAGCUUGCUAUCCAAUCAAAAGUGAAUUUCAGAUUCUCACAACCGCCACCUCGGGAGGAUUGAACGAUCCUGAAGAGAAGAUGAGAUUACUUCAGUUAGAGCAAGAGGAGGCUGCGAGAAUGGAGAGGGAGCGGCUAAAGGUUAAGGAGCGAGAAAGGUAGUUUCUGCAAGCGUUGGAGAUGGAGAAGAAGAGGAAGAACAACGCAAAUUCGAAGAAGAAGAAUCUUAGAGAAGGCUGGCUAGGGUUGAUUCUCAAGAGAUUCACUUUCUACCUUUCAACCCCACCGACAAAAGAACAUCAUGAUAAGGAUGGUAAAAUGCAUAAGGUCAGCAAAGGUGCUCCAGAACAGGUUUACAUGGCUGCAACUGAUACGGCUCUUCCCAUGGGUUAGAACUAAAGCUACAAGCUAGAAAGAUAGGGUGAAUGAUGGAAGAUUGGUGUGCUACGAAAAGCGGAGUUUUUGGGUUCACUCCCUCUACUCUAUGCGAUAUGUAUGUGAUUUCAUUCCUGCCCCCAAAAACAGAGGUUAAAAGAUUACUACAUAUUUAAUAAGCAUCAAAUCUACCGGGAGGGUCUGAACAUAAGUCUUCAAACUCCUAGGGUCCAAGCUCUUAACUGAGAAGAACCUUCAAAAUGACGUGCGAAAAAGUGGUAUUUAGAACAAUUAUGGAAAAAUAUAAUCAUGUAAUUGAUGUACUCAUUCAAUUUGUUUAUUGAGUUUUAUUUUAUUGCAGACACGUAGCAUAAUUUACUACAGAUCGUGUCAAGGAAGAACAAGGAAUGUUAGACUAAAAGAGAA
Molecule: long non-coding RNA, 1578 nt
Organism: Spinacia oleracea (spinach)
Lineage: Eukaryota; Viridiplantae; Streptophyta; Magnoliopsida; Caryophyllales; Amaranthaceae
Exons: 6
Source: RefSeq, a predicted model, not a curated record